GCAAGCCAGCUAGCCUAAACACACCCACCAAACAACCAACCAUAAAUAAACAAACAUCCCCACCCCAAAAAUAAACCAUUCUCCCGCCCCAGUAUAGGUGAUAGAAAAGGCAAAAUUAGAGCUAUAGAGAAAGUACCGCAAGGGAAAGAUGAAAGAGAAAUGAAAAAACCCAUAAUCAAGCACCAAAAAGCAGAGAUCCCCCCCUCGUACCUUUUGCAUCAUGGUUUAGCAAGAAGACCUCAAGCAAGGCGCACCAUAGUUUGAAACCCCGAAACUAGACGAGCUACUCCGGAGCAGUCUAAAAGGACCAACCCUUCUCUGUGGCAAAAGAGUGGGAAGACUCCCGAGUAGAGGUGACAAGCCUAUCCGAGCCUAGUUAUAGCUGGUUGCUUAAGAAAUGAAUGUUAGUUCAGCCUUAUAUGAUUCUCAAACCGAAAAUUCACAACAAAAAGAACAAAGCAAUCUAUAAGAGUUAGUCCAAGGGGGGACAGCCCCUUAGAAAAAGAACACAACCUUAUCCAGGAGGACAAGGAUCAUAAAAUGAAAAGGACCUACUUCCUCAGUGGGCCUAAAAGCAGCCACCUGAGCAGAAGGCGUUAAAGCCCAGGAAGAACAUAACCAACAAUAAAGACAAAAACUCCAAACCCCCUAAAAAUAUUAAGCCCCUCUAUGCAGACAUAGAAGAGAUAAUGCUAAAAUCAGUAAUAAGAGAGCACAAGGCUCUCUCCAGGCACAUGUGUAAGUCAGAACGGACAAACCAAUGGCAAUCAACAGACCCAAAAUGAGGGAAAAGCACUCACACUAAAACAAACCAGAAAACCCUGCAACAAAACAACUGUUAAACCAACACAGGAGCGCCCACAAGGAAAGACUAAAAGAAGGAGAAGGAACUCGGCAAACACAAACCCCGCCUGUUUACCAAAAACAUCGCCUCUUGCCAACAAAUGGAAGUAUUAGAGGUCCCGCCUGCCCUGUGACCAUAAAGUUUAACGGCCGCGGUAUCUUGACCGUGCGAAGGUAGCGUAAUCACUUGUCUUUUAAAUGAAGACCUGUAUGAAUGGCAUAACGAGGGUUUAACUGUCUCCUCCCCCCAGUCAAUGAAAUUGAUCUGCCCGUGCAGAAGCGGGCAUAAAAACAUAAGACGAGAAGACCCUAUGGAGCUUUAGGCCAAAGAACAGACAUGUAAAGAACCUCAAUAAUCCAAAAGAAGUUUUAACAGAGAACACAAACUAAAUGUAGAAUGAUCCUAGUGCCUUCGGUUGGGGCGACCACGGGGGAAAGAAAAGCCCCCACACGGAAUGGAGUACACCUCCCAAACCAAGAAAAACAAUUCUAAGCAACAGAACAUCUGACCAAAAAUGACCCAGGACAAAUUUACCUAAACCUGAUCAAUGAACCAAGUUACCCUAGGGAUAACAGCGCAAUCCUUUCCCAGAGCCCAUAUCGACGAAAGGGCUUACGACCUCGAUGUUGGAUCAGGACAUCCUAAUGGUGCAGCCGCUAUUAAGGGUUCGUUUGUUCAACGAUUAACAGUCCUACGUGAUCUGAGUUCAGACCGGAGUAAUCCAGGUCGGUUUCUAUCUAUGAACACUACUUCUUCCCAGUACGAAAGGACCGGAAAAAGAGGGCCUAUACUAUAAGCAAGCCCUACCCCCACCUCCUGAAAAAAUAUAAAAGAGAUAAUGGGGAAUACCCAACAGCCAAAGAUAAUGGCAU
RNAcentral lists this ribosomal RNA (1716 nucleotides) under Paraconger notialis (Guinean conger). RNAcentral's name for it is "16S rRNA". The stretch from base 82 to 1621 matches the Rfam family "Bacterial large subunit ribosomal RNA". Lineage: Eukaryota; Metazoa; Chordata; Actinopteri; Anguilliformes; Congridae. The record is from RNAcentral.